UCACAGGUGUAAUGGUUAGCACGUCGGAUUUUGAUUCCGGAGAUAUUGGUUCGAUUCCUAUAUGAA
RNAcentral lists this transfer RNA (66 nucleotides) under Lachnellula willkommii. RNAcentral describes it as "tRNA-Gln". The stretch from base 6 to 61 matches the Rfam family "tRNA", at positions 9 to 63 of the family's 71-position model. From Rfam's summary of the family: Transfer RNA (tRNA) molecules are approximately 80 nucleotides in length. Their secondary structure includes four short double-helical elements and three loops (D, anti-codon, and T loops). Further hydrogen bonds mediate the characteristic L-shaped molecular structure. tRNAs have two regions of fundamental functional importance: the anti-codon, which is responsible for specific mRNA codon recognition, and the 3' end, to which the tRNAs corresponding amino acid is attached (by aminoacyl-tRNA synthetases). tRNAs cope with the degeneracy of the genetic code in two manners: having more than one tRNA (with a specific anti-codon) for a particular amino acid; and 'wobble' base-pairing, i.e. permitting non-standard base-pairing at the 3rd anti-codon position. The record is from RNAcentral. Lineage: Eukaryota; Fungi; Ascomycota; Leotiomycetes; Helotiales; Lachnaceae.